AGAGUUUGAUUCUGGCUCAGAACGAACGCUGGCGGCGUGGAUAAGACAUGCAAGUCGAACGGGAAUGCUGGAUAGCUUGCUAACCGGUAUUCUAGUGGCGAACGGGUGAGUAACACGUGAGCAACCUACCUGAAAGAGGGGGAUAGCCUGAGGAAACUCGGAUUAAUACCGCAUGUGGUCGUGCAGGACAUCCUGACACGAUUAAAGGUGGCCUUUGUGCUGCCACUUCCAGAUGGGCUCGCGGCCUAUCAGUUAGUUGGUGAGGUAAUGGCUCACCAAGACGACGACGGGUAGUUGGUCUGAGAGGAUGGUCAACCACACUGGAACUGAGACACGGUCCAGACACCUACGGGUGGCAGCAGUCGAGAAUCAUUCACAAUGGGCGAAAGCCUGAUGGUGCGACGCCGCGUGGAGGAUGACGGUCUUCGGAUUGUAAACUCCUGUCAUCAGGGAGUAAGGUCGUGUAUAGUAACUGACACACGGAUUGAUAGUACCUGAAGAGGAAGAGACGGCUAACUCUGUGCCAGCAGCCGCGGUAAUACAGAGGUCUCAAGCGUUGUUCGGAAUCACUGGGCGUAAAGCGUGCGUAGGCGGUAGGGUAAGUCAGAUGUGAAAGCCCAGGGCUCAACCUUGGAACUGCAUCCGAUACUGCCUUACUUGAGGACUGGAGGGGAGUCUGGAAUUCAUGGUGUAGCAGUGAAAUGCGUAGAUAUCAUGAGGAACACUAGUGGCGAAGGCGAGACUCUGGACAGUUCUUGACGCUGAGGCACGAAGGCUAGGGUAGCGAAGCGGGUUAGAUACCCGCGUAGUCCUAGCAGUAAACGGUGCACGUUUGGUGUGGGAGGAUUCGACCCCUUCCGUGCCGGAGCUAACGCGUUAAACGUGCCGCCUGGGGAAUACGAUCGCAAGAUUAAAACUCAAAGAAAUUGACGGGGACCCGCACAAGCGGUGGAGUAUGUGGCUUAAUUCGAUGCAACGCGAAGAACCUUACCUGGACUUGACAUGCUUGUCGUAGUCCUGCGAAAGCAGGACGUCACCUCGGGUGGACCUGCACAGGUGCUGCAUGGCCGUCGUCAGCUCGUGUCGUGAGAUGUUGGGUUAAGUCCCGCAACGAGCGCAACCCCUGUGAGCAGUUGCCAGCGCGUAAUGGCGGGGACUCUGCUCAGACUGCCGGUACCAAACCGGAGGAAGGUGGGGACGACGUCAAGUCAGUAUGGCCUUUAUGUCCAGGGCUGCACACGUACUACAAUGCCCAGUACAAUGUGAACCGAUACCGCGAGGUGGAGGAAAUCCUUAAAACUGGGCUCAGUUCGGAUUGGAGGCUGCAACUCGCCUCCAUGAAGCUGGAAUCGCUAGUAAUGGCUCAUCAGCAACGGAGCCGUGAAUACGUUCCCGGGUCUUGUACACACCGCCCGUCACAUCAUGGAAGCCGGUCGCGCCCGAAGUGUCUGCGCCAACCUCGGAGGCAGGGCCCGAAGGUGAGACUGGUAACUGGGAUGAAGUCGUAACAAGGUA
RNAcentral lists this ribosomal RNA (1515 nucleotides) under metagenome. RNAcentral's name for it is "bacterial SSU rRNA". It matches the Rfam family "Bacterial small subunit ribosomal RNA". The record is from RNAcentral.